This 496-nucleotide ribosomal RNA is filed under the name uncultured bacterium. RNAcentral describes it as "partial 16S ribosomal RNA". It matches the Rfam family "Bacterial small subunit ribosomal RNA", at positions 28 to 507 of the family's 1533-position model. The record is from RNAcentral.
GAUGAACGCUGGCGGCGUGCCUAAUACAUGCAAGUCGAGCGAACAGACGAGGAGCUUGCUCCUCUGACGUUAGCGGCGGACGGGUGAGUAACACGUGGAUAACCUACCUAUAAGACUGGGAUAACUUCGGGAAACCGGAGCUAAUACCGGAUAACAUGUUGAACCGCAUGGUUCAACAGUGAAAGACGGUCUUGCUGUCACUUAUAGAUGGAUCCGCGCCGCAUUAGCUAGUUGGUAGGUAACGGGUUACCAAGGCAAAGAUGCGUAGCCGACCUGAGAGGGUGAUCGGCCACACUGGAACUGAGACACGGUCCAGACUCCUACGGGAGGCAGCAGUAGGGAAUCUUCCGGAAUGGGCGAAAGCCUGACGGAGCAACGCCGCGUGAGUGAAGAAGGUCUUCGGAUCGUAAAACUCUGUUAUUAGGGAAGAACAAAUGUGUAAGUAACUAUGCACGUCUUGACGGUACCUAAUCAGAAAGCCACGGCUAACUACGUG